AGUAAGUCAGUGGUGAAAGCCCAUCGCUCAACGGUGGAACGGCCAUUGAUACUGCUAGACUUGAAUUAUUAGGAAGUAACUAGAAUAUGUAGUGUAGCGGUGAAAUGCUUAGAGAUUACAUGGAAUACCAAUUGCGAAGGCAGGUUACUACUAAUUGAUUGACGCUGAUGGACGAAAGCGUGGGCAGCGAACAGGAUUAGAUACCCUGGUAAUCCACGCCGUAAACGAUGGAUACUAGCUGUUGGGUGCAAACUCAGUGGCUAAGCGAAAGUGAUAAGUAUCCCACCUGGGGAGUACGUUCGCAAGAAUGAAACUCAAAGGAAUUGACGGGGGCCCGCACAAGCGGUGGAGCAUGUGGUUUAAUUCGAUGAUACGCGAGGAACCUUACCAAGGCUUAAAUGUAGAUUGACCGGUUUGGAAACAGACUUUUCGCAAGACAAUUUACAAGGUGCUGCAUGGUUGUCGUCAGCUCGUGCCGUGAGGUGUCAGGUUAAGUCCUAUAACGAGCGCAACCCCUGUUGUUAGUUGCCAGCGAGUCAAGUCGGGAACUCUAACAAGACUGCCAGUGUAAACUGUGAGGAAGGUGGGGAUGACGUCAAAUCAUCACGGCCCUUACAUCCUGGGCGACACGCACGCUACAAUGGCCGGGACAGCGGGUAGCCAAGCCGCAAGGCGGAGCGAAUCCCAGGAAACCCGGUCUCAGUUCGGAUCGUGGGCUGCAACCCGCCCACGUGAAG
Molecule: ribosomal RNA, 737 nt
Filed under: uncultured Flavobacteriales bacterium
Lineage: Bacteria; Pseudomonadati; Bacteroidota; Flavobacteriia; Flavobacteriales
Description: bacterial SSU rRNA
Rfam family: Bacterial small subunit ribosomal RNA
Source: RNAcentral